AGUGAACGCUGGCGGUAGGCCUAACACAUGCAAGUCGAACGGCAGCACAGUAAGAGCUUGCUCUUACGGGUGGCGAGUGUCGUACGGGUGAGGAAUACAUCGGAAUCUACUUUUUCUUGUGGGAUAACGUAGGUAAACUUACGCUAAUACCUCAUACGACCUACGGGUGAAAUCAUGGGAUCUUCUGACCUUGCGCGAUUGAAUGAGCCGAUGUCGGAUUAGCUAGUUGGCGGGGUAAAGGCCCACCAAGUCGACGAUCCGUAGCUGGUCUGAGAGGAUGAUCAGCAACACUGGAACUGAGACACGGUCCAGACUCCUACGGGAGGAAGCAGUGGGGAAUAUUGGACAAUGGGCGCAAGCCUGAUCCAGCAAUACCGAGUGGGUGAAGAAGGCCUUAGGGUUGUAAAGCCCUUUUGUUGGGAAAGAAAAGCAGCAGGUUAAUAACCCGCUGUUAUGACGGUAACCAAAGAAUAAGCACCGGCUAACUUCGUG
This 492-nucleotide ribosomal RNA is filed under the name uncultured bacterium. RNAcentral describes it as "partial 16S ribosomal RNA". It matches the Rfam family "Bacterial small subunit ribosomal RNA", at positions 29 to 507 of the family's 1533-position model. The record is from RNAcentral.